AUUGAACGCUGGCGGCAUGCCUUACACAUGCAAGUCGAACGGUAACAGGUUAAGCUGACUACUCGCGUACGGGAGAGUUAUGUAUCGGAACGUGCCCAGUCGCGUGGGAUAACUGCUCGAACGAGCAGCUAAUACCGCAUCCGACCUGAGGUUCUAGGUGGGUGGUCGCAAUUCCUCACGCUAUGCGAGCGUCCGAUAUCGGAUUAGGUAGUUGCUGAGGUAAAGGCUCACCAAGUCGACGAUCUGUAGCUGGUCUGAGAGCUCGACCAGCCACACUGGGACUGAGACACGGCCCAGACUCCUACGGGAGGCAGCAGUGGGGAAUUUUGGACAAAGGGCGCAAGCCUGAUCCAGCCAUGCCGCGUGCGGGAAGAAGGCCUUCGGGUUGUAAAACGCUUUUGUCAGGGAAGAAAAGGUUCUGGAGAAUACCUGCGUCUCGUGACGGUACCUGAAGAAUAAGCACCGGCUAACUACGUG
RNAcentral lists this ribosomal RNA (477 nucleotides) under uncultured bacterium. RNAcentral describes it as "partial 16S ribosomal RNA". It matches the Rfam family "Bacterial small subunit ribosomal RNA", at positions 30 to 507 of the family's 1533-position model. The record is from RNAcentral.